RNAcentral lists this ribosomal RNA (2921 nucleotides) under Staphylococcus argenteus. RNAcentral describes it as "bacterial LSU rRNA". It matches the Rfam family "Bacterial large subunit ribosomal RNA". The record is from RNAcentral. Lineage: Bacteria; Bacillati; Bacillota; Bacilli; Caryophanales; Staphylococcaceae.
UUAAGUUAUUAAGGGCGCACGGUGGAUGCCUUGGCACUAGAAGCCGAUGAAGGACGUUACUAACGACGAUAUGCUUUGGGGAGCUGUAAGUAAGCUUUGAUCCAGAGAUUUCCGAAUGGGGAAACCCAACAUGAGUUAUGUCAUGUUAUCGAUAUGUGAAUACAUAGCAUAUCAGAAGGCACACCCGGAGAACUGAAACAUCUUAGUACCCGGAGGAAGAGAAAGAAAAUUCGAUUCCCUUAGUAGCGGCGAGCGAAACGGGAAGAGCCCAAACCAACAAGCUUGCUUGUUGGGGUUGUAGGACACUCUAUACGGAGUUACAAAGGACGACAUUAGACGAAUCAUCUGGAAAGAUGAAUCAAAGAAGGUAAUAAUCCUGUAGUCGAAAAUGUUGUCUCUCUUGAGUGGAUCCUGAGUACGACGGAGCACGUGAAAUUCCGUCGGAAUCUGGGAGGACCAUCUCCUAAGGCUAAAUACUCUCUAGUGACCGAUAGUGAACCAGUACCGUGAGGGAAAGGUGAAAAGCACCCCGGAAGGGGAGUGAAAUAGAACCUGAAACCGUGUGCUUACAAGUAGUCAGAGCCCGUUAAUGGGUGAUGGCGUGCCUUUUGUAGAAUGAACCGGCGAGUUACGAUUUGAUGCAAGGUUAAGCAGUAAAUGUGGAGCCGUAGCGAAAGCGAGUCUGAAUAGGGCGUUUAGUAUUUGGUCGUAGACCCGAAACCAGGUGAUCUACCCUUGGUCAGGUUGAAGUUCAGGUAACACUGAAUGGAGGACCGAACCGACUUACGUUGAAAAGUGAGCGGAUGAACUGAGGGUAGCGGAGAAAUUCCAAUCGAACCUGGAGAUAGCUGGUUCUCUCCGAAAUAGCUUUAGGGCUAGCCUCAAGUGAUGAUUAUUGGAGGUAGAGCACUGUUUGGACGAGGGGCCCCUCUCGGGUUACCGAAUUCAGACAAACUCCGAAUGCCAAUUAAUUUAACUUGGGAGUCAGAACAUGGGUGAUAAGGUCCGUGUUCGAAAGGGAAACAGCCCAGACCACCAGCUAAGGUCCCAAAAUAUAUGUUAAGUGGAAAAGGAUGUGGCGUUGCCCAGACAACUAGGAUGUUGGCUUAGAAGCAGCCAUCAUUUAAAGAGUGCGUAAUAGCUCACUAGUCGAGUGACACUGCGCCGAAAAUGUACCGGGGCUAAACAUAUUACCGAAGCUGUGGAUUGUCCUUUGGACAAUGGUAGGAGAGCGUUCUAAGGGCGUUGAAGCAUGAUCGUAAGGACAUGUGGAGCGCUUAGAAGUGAGAAUGCCGGUGUGAGUAGCGAAAGACGGGUGAGAAUCCCGUCCACCGAUUGACUAAGGUUUCCAGAGGAAGGCUCGUCCGCUCUGGGUUAGUCGGGUCCUAAGCUGAGGCCGACAGGCGUAGGCGAUGGAUAACAGGUUGAUAUUCCUGUACCACCUAUAAUCGUUUUAAUCGAUGGGGGGACGCAGUAGGAUAGGCGAAGCGUGCGAUUGGAUUGCACGUCUAAGCAGUAAGGCUGAGUAUUAGGCAAAUCCGGUACUCAUUAAGGCUGAGCUGUGAUGGGGAGAAGACAUUGUGUCUUCGAGUCGUUGAUUUCACACUGCCGAGAAAAGCCUCUAGAUAGAAAAUAGGUGCCCGUACCGCAAACCGACACAGGUAGUCAAGAUGAGAAUUCUAAGGUGAGCGAGCGAACUCUCGUUAAGGAACUCGGCAAAAUGACCCCGUAACUUCGGGAGAAGGGGUGCUCUUUAGGGUUAACGCCCAGAAGAGCCGCAGUGAAUAGGCCCAAGCGACUGUUUAUCAAAAACACAGGUCUCUGCUAAACCGUAAGGUGAUGUAUAGGGGCUGACGCCUGCCCGGUGCUGGAAGGUUAAGAGGAGUGGUUAGCUUCUGCGAAGCUACGAAUCGAAGCCCCAGUAAACGGCGGCCGUAACUAUAACGGUCCUAAGGUAGCGAAAUUCCUUGUCGGGUAAGUUCCGACCCGCACGAAAGGCGUAACGAUUUGGGCACUGUCUCAACGAGAGACUCGGUGAAAUCAUAGUACCUGUGAAGAUGCAGGUUACCCGCGACAGGACGGAAAGACCCCGUGGAGCUUUACUGUAGCCUGAUAUUGAAAUUCGGCACAGCUUGUACAGGAUAGGUAGAAGCCUUUGAAACGUGAGCGCUAGCUUACGUGGAGGCGCUGGUGGGAUACUACCCUAGCUGUGUUGGCUUUCUAACCCGCACCACUUAUCGUGGUGGGAGACAGUGUCAGGCGGGCAGUUUGACUGGGGCGGUCGCCUCCUAAAAGGUAACGGAGGCGCUCAAAGGUUCCCUCAGAAUGGUUGGAAAUCAUUCAUAGAGUGUAAAGGCAUAAGGGAGCUUGACUGCGAGACCUACAAGUCGAGCAGGGUCGAAAGACGGACUUAGUGAUCCGGUGGUUCCGCAUGGAAGGGCCAUCGCUCAACGGAUAAAAGCUACCCCGGGGAUAACAGGCUUAUCUCCCCCAAGAGUUCACAUCGACGGGGAGGUUUGGCACCUCGAUGUCGGCUCAUCGCAUCCUGGGGCUGUAGUCGGUCCCAAGGGUUGGGCUGUUCGCCCAUUAAAGCGGUACGCGAGCUGGGUUCAGAACGUCGUGAGACAGUUCGGUCCCUAUCCGUCGUGGGCGUAGGAAAUUUGAGAGGAGCUGUCCUUAGUACGAGAGGACCGGGAUGGACAUACCUCUGGUGUACCAGUUGUCGUGCCAACGGCAUAGCUGGGUAGCUAUGUGUGGACGGGAUAAGUGCUGAAAGCAUCUAAGCAUGAAGCCCCCCUCAAGAUGAGAUUUCCCAACUUCGGUUAUAAGAUCCCUCAAAGAUGAUGAGGUUAAUAGGUUCGAGGUGGAAGCAUGGUGACAUGUGGAGCUGACGAAUACUAAUCGAUCGAAGACUUAAUCAA